RNAcentral lists this ribosomal RNA (406 nucleotides) under uncultured bacterium. RNAcentral describes it as "bacterial SSU rRNA". It matches the Rfam family "Bacterial small subunit ribosomal RNA", at positions 28 to 433 of the family's 1533-position model. The record is from RNAcentral.
GACGAACGCUGGCGGCACGCUUAACACAUGCAAGACGAACGGUGAAGAGAAGCUUGCUUCUCGGAUCAGUGGCGGACGGGUGAGUAACACGUGAGCAACCUGCCUUUAAGAGGGGGAUAACGUUUGGAAACGAACGCUAAUACCGCAUAAUAUAGAAGAUUCGCAUGUUUCUUCUAUCAAAGAUUUAUCGCUUAAAGAUGGGCUCGCGUCUGAUUAGCUGGUUGGUGAGGUAACGGCUCACCAAGGCGACGAUCAGUAGCCGUACUGAGAGGUAGAACGGCCACAUUGGGACUGAGACACGGCCCAGACUCCUACGGGAGGCAGCAGUGGGGAAUAUUGCACAAUGGAGGGAACUCUGAUGCAGCGAUGCCGCGUGAGGGAAGAAGGUUUUCGGAUUGUAAACCUC